This 389-nucleotide ribosomal RNA is filed under the name uncultured bacterium. Its description in RNAcentral is "bacterial SSU rRNA". It matches the Rfam family "Bacterial small subunit ribosomal RNA", at positions 29 to 418 of the family's 1533-position model. The record is from RNAcentral.
AUUGAACGCUGGCGGCAUGCCUUACACAUGCAAGUCGAACGGCAGCACGGGAGCAAUCCUGGUGGCGAGUGGCGAACGGGUGAGUAAUAUAUCGGAACGUGCCCAGUCGUGGGGGAUAACGUAGCGAAAGCUACGCUAAUACCGCAUACGAUCUACGGAUGAAAGCGGGGGAUCGCAAGACCUCGCGCGAUUGGAGCGGCCGAUAUCAGAUUAGGUAGUUGGUGAGGUAAAGGCUCACCAAGCCGACGAUCUGUAGCUGGUCUGAGAGGACGACCAGCCACACUGGGACUGAGACACGGCCCAGACUCCUACGGGAGGCAGCAGUGGGGAAUUUUGGACAAUGGGGGGCAACCCUGAUCCAGCAAUGCCGCGUGAGUGAAGAAGGCCUC